Molecule: ribosomal RNA, 458 nt
Filed under: uncultured bacterium
Lineage: Bacteria
Description: partial 16S ribosomal RNA
Rfam family: Bacterial small subunit ribosomal RNA
Source: RNAcentral
CCUACGGGGGGCUGCAGUGAGGAAUAUUGGUCAAUGGGCGAGAGCCUGAACCAGCCAAGUCGCGUGAGGGAGUACUGCCCUAUGGGUUGUAAACCUCUUUUGUCGGGGAGCAAAAGCCGGACGUGUCCGGCUGUGAGAGUACCCGCAGAAAAAGCAUCGGCUCACUCCGUGCCAGCAGCCGCGGUAAUACGGGGGAUGCGAGCGUUAUCCGGAUUUAUUGGGUUUAAAGGGUGCGCAGGCGGAUUUUUAAGUCAGCGGUAAAAUCGUGGGGCUCAACCCCAUCCAGCCGUUGAAACUGGGGAUCUAGAGUGUGCGAGAGGUAUGCGGAAUGCGUGGUGUAGCGGUGAAAUGCAUAGAUAUCACGCAGAACCCCGAUUGCGAAGGCAGCAUACCGGUGCACAACUGACGCUCAGGCACGAAAGCGUGGGUAUCGAACAGGAUUAGAUACCCUUGUAGUC